ACGGACGGCCAUGCCACCCUGAAUGUGCCCGAUCUCGUCUGAUCUCGGAAGCUAAGCAGGGUCGGGCCUGGUUACUACUUAGAUGGGAGACUGCCUAGGAAUAUCGGGGGCUGUAGGCA
Molecule: ribosomal RNA, 119 nt
Filed under: Pteropus alecto (black flying fox)
Lineage: Eukaryota; Metazoa; Chordata; Mammalia; Chiroptera; Pteropodidae
Source: RNAcentral